AUGAGGAAGAGUGGGACUUCAUCAGAAACUUAUGUGGAAAACUUGGCUGACUCCUGCAGCAUUGAUCUUCAGGAGCCCAAAAAGGGUUAUGACGGGGUGAAGAAAAAAGAUUUUAAAAGAUUUAGUAGGUUCAACCAGCCGGCGCGGAAGAUCCGCAGACGCAAGGCCCUGCUGGCGAAAGCGCGCCGUAUCGCCCCGCGUCCCGCGUCCGGGCCCAUCCGGCCCAUAGUGAGAUGCCCCACGGUGAGAUACCACACCAAGGUCGAGCCGGUCGGGGCUUCAGCCAGGAAGAGCUCAGGGUGGCCGGCAUCCAUAAGAAAGUGGCACGGACCAUCGGCAUCUCUGUGAACCCAAGAAGGCGGAACAAGUCCACGGAAUCCCUGCAGGCUAACGUGCAGCGGCUGAAGGAGUACUGCUCUAAGCUUAUCCUCUUCCCCAGGAAGCCUUCUGCCCCCAAGAAGGGAGACAGCUCUGCUGAAGAACUCAAAUUGGCCACUCAGCUCACAGGACCAGUGAUGCCCAUCCGGAAUGUCUAUAAAAAGGAGAAAGCCAGAGUGAUCACAGAAGAAGAAAAGAACUUCAAGGCUUUUGCCAGCCUCCGAAUGGCCCGUGCCAACGCCCGGCUCUUCGGCAUUCGAGCGAAAAGGGCCAAGGAAGCUGCGGAACAAGAUGUUGAAAAGAAAAAGUAAUGCUCUGUUGGGGCAUUGUAAUAAAUUUUCAGUAAAGCGGAGAAAAAAAAAAAA
Molecule: RNA transcript, 743 nt
Organism: Nannospalax galili (Upper Galilee mountains blind mole rat)
Lineage: Eukaryota; Metazoa; Chordata; Mammalia; Rodentia; Spalacidae
Gene name: 60S ribosomal protein L13 pseudogene
Exons: 2
Source: RefSeq, a predicted model, not a curated record